AUUGAACGCUAGCGGGAUGCCUUACACAUGCAAGUCGAACGGCAGCGCGGACUUCGGUUUGGCGGCGAGUGGCGAACGGGUGAGUAAUGUAUCGGAACGUGCCCAGUAGCGGGGGAUAACUACUCGAAAGAGUAGCUAAUACCGCAUACGCCCUACGGGGGAAAGGGGGGGAUCGCAAGACCUCUCACUAUUGGAGCGGCCGAUAUCGGAUUAGCUAGUUGGUGAGGUAAAGGCUCACCAAGGCGACGAUCCGUAGCUGGUUUGAGAGGACGACCAGCCACACUGGGACUGAGACACGGCCCAGACUCCUACGGGAGGCAGCAGUGGGGAAUUUUGGACAAUGGGGGCAACCCUGAUCCAGCAAUGCCGCGUGAGUGAAGAAGGCCUUCGGGUUGUAAAGCUCUUUCGGCCGGGACGAAAUCGCUCUGGUGAAUAUCCAGGGUGGAUGACGGUACCGGAAUAAGAAGCACCGGCUAACUACGUGCCAGCCGCCGCAGUAA
RNAcentral lists this ribosomal RNA (500 nucleotides) under uncultured bacterium. Its description in RNAcentral is "partial 16S ribosomal RNA". It matches the Rfam family "Bacterial small subunit ribosomal RNA", at positions 29 to 523 of the family's 1533-position model. The record is from RNAcentral.